GCCAGGCACAGUGGUGCAUGCCUGUAAUUCCAGCAGCUCGGGAGGCUGAGACAGGAGGAUUGCAGGUUCAAAGCCAGCCUUAGCAACUAAGCAAUUCAGUGAGACCCUGUCCCUA
This 115-nucleotide small RNA is filed under the name Marmota monax (woodchuck). The record is from RNAcentral. Lineage: Eukaryota; Metazoa; Chordata; Mammalia; Rodentia; Sciuridae.